Rhododendron vialii is the source of this 4476-nucleotide RNA transcript. It is a transcript of the gene named eIF-2-alpha kinase GCN2, with no coding region annotated. The record is from RefSeq and is a predicted model, not a curated record. Lineage: Eukaryota; Viridiplantae; Streptophyta; Magnoliopsida; Ericales; Ericaceae. The transcript is spliced from 31 exons.
AGUCCACCAGUAACGUCUCUCUCUCUCUCUCUCUCUCUCUCUCUCUCAUAGAACGCCAAUUCAAACCCUGUUUAAUCGCUCGUUCUAGGGUUUUACAAAUCCCCUGAUUCUCAACGAUUAGUAUCUAUCCGAAAGGUUGGCCUGGUAAUGAGUAGGCGAAGAACAGCUUGAUCAUCAAGUAAAAAAUGGGGCACAGUUCGAAGAAGAAGAAGAAGCACGGCGGAGGGGGUCGAUUAAAGGGCAGAGCUCCGUCGAAGGAUCACGGUUCUCACGCACGCGAUGACAAUGAACAUAUCUCCGAGGAGAUAACCGCAUUGUGCGCGAUAUUUCAAGACGAGUGCCAAGUUAUUUCAAACUCACCUCCUCUGAUCAACAUCAAGCUCAGGCCAUACUCCAAGGAUGCAGGCUCUGAGGAUUUAGAGGUUUCUGCUCUUCUUUCAGUGAGGUUUUUACCUGGCUAUCCAUACAAGUGCCCUAAACUUCAGAUAACUCUGGAUAAGGGUUUGUCAAAAGCUGAUGCUGAGAACCUUCUAUCUUUGCUACAUGACCAGGCUAAUUCUAAUGCUCGGGAAGGGCGCGUCAUGAUUUAUAAUUUGGUUGAAGCAGCUCAAGAGUUCUUGUCUGAAAUUGUUCCAGUAGGGCAGCCAUAUAGAUCUGUGCCGUGCCAGGAAACAGAGAGGAGCAAUCAGUUGUCCCUGAAUGCUGCAGAUUCACGUAACAAGAUUCCUUGUUCUAGGGGACCUUUUGUUUAUGGUUUCGUAGAUCUUUUCAGUGGGUCUGGCGAGUCAUGGCAUUGGGGUCUUGAAUUGGAAGAGAUUCAUGGAAUAAAUCCUUCAGUGCAAUCCCAAACACUAGAGAAUAAAAUUGACCCCAAAGUGAAGCCAACUGUGGUUCAGGAAGUGAAGCAAGUUCCUAUAGUACUUCCAGUUACAAAACUAGAUACUCUUGAAGAAGAGUGCGAAGACAAUAGCAAGAACUUAUCCGCUAGCGAUACAACUAGAAUGUUCUCAGGGGAAUCAGUGGGAACAGGUACCACUGAUGAGGCCAAGGAUCUGAUAGUAGAUCAUCCUGAAGAUGGUGAUGAUUUUUAUUUUGAUAGUGACCCUUUGGAAUCAGUAUCUUCUGCUUCUGGUAUUCCUGACCAAUUAUCUCAGACCACGGAAAGAGAUUUGAUUCUAGCUCACCUCCUUCGUCUUGCUUGUGCAUCUAAAGAUCAACUUGCUGAUGCUUUGCAAGAAAUAACCUCUGAGCUGUAUAAACUAGGAGUUAUUUCAGAACGAGUGCAGGAUUUAGCUACCAAACCAUCUUCAUUCUUUGACCAAACUUUUGAUGAUGUUUUUAGGCAAAGAAUGGUUACAUCCAAAAUCUCUCAAUUCUGGAAAACUGCUGCUGAUUUUGGAGGCCAGAAUUCUUCACGUACUGCAAGUUCCCGAUAUCUCAAUGACUUCGAGGAGCAAAAACCCCUUGGUCACGGUGGAUUCGGUCAUGUUGUAUUGUGCAAGAAUAAGCUAGAUGGAAGGCAGUAUGCUGUCAAGAAGAUUCGCUUGAAGGACAAAGGCCCUCCUGUUAAUGACCGUAUCCUGCGAGAGGUAGCCACGCUUGCACGGUUACAGCACCAGCAUGUCGUGCGUUAUUAUCAGGCAUGGUAUGAAAGGGGAUUUGUUGGUAGCCAUGCUGAUGCCACAUUGGGCUCAAUGACUGCAGUGAGCUCCAGUAUUAGUGACACAGUUGCAAGUUCGGCAUAUAAUGAGAAUAAGCUUGAAUCGACCUAUCUUUACAUUCAAAUGGAAUUUUGCCCAAGGACACUGAGGCAGAUGUUUGAAUCGUACAAUCACUUCGACAAGGAAUUGGCAUGGCAUUUGUUUCGCCAAAUUGUAGAGGGCCUGGCACACAUACACGCACAGGGAAUCAUACAUCGUGACUUGACUCCAAAUAAUAUCUUCUUUGAUGCUCGGAAUGAUAUUAAAAUUGGCGAUUUUGGUCUGGCUAAGUUUUUGAAGCUAGAACAGAUGGACCAGGAUCCAGAUCCUGCAGAAACAGCUGGAGUUUCUGUGGAUCGUACAGGUCAAGUUGGUACCUAUUUCUAUACUGCACCUGAAAUUGAGCAAGGGUGGCCGAAGAUCGAUGAAAAGGCUGACAUGUACAGCUUAGGGAUUGUGUUCUUUGAGCUUUGGCACCCAUUUGGAACUGAUAUGGAGAGGCAUAUUGUUCUUUCCGAUCUUAAACAGAAGGGAGAACUUCCUGCUGCUUGGGUUACUGAAUUUCCAGACCAGGCUUCCUUGUUACGGCGGUUGAUGUCCUCAAGUCCUUCAGAUCGUCCGUCAGCUACAGAACUACUCAAACAUGCUUUUCCUCCACGAAUGGAAUAUGAGUUGCUUGACAAUAUUCUACGGACAAUGCAUGCAUCAGAAGAUACCAGUGUCUAUGAUAAAGUUGUGGCUGCUGUAUUCAGUGAGGACUUUUUAGGCGCUAAUGACCACAAUGAGCAUGGUGGGAGACUAGGCUCAACUGGAAGCAUUGCUUCAUCCAUCCAGUACACUGACUCCGAUACUGAGGUGAGGGACCAGGUUGCGGAGGUCGCUAAGGAAGUGUUCAGACAACAUUGUGCGAAACAUGUGGAGAUAAUACCCGUGAGGCUGCUGGGAGAUUGCCCAGCAAUCAAUAGGAAUGCUGUAAAACUUUUGACCCAUGGGGGAGACAUGGUGGAGCUUUGCUAUGAGCUACGGUUGCCCUUUGUGAAUUGGGUUAUUGCAAACCAGAAGGCAUUUUUCAAAAGGUAUGAGAUAUCCUAUGUUUAUCGUCGAGCAAUUGGUCAUUCACCACCAAAUCGUUAUCUCCAGGGAGAUUUGGAUAUUAUUGGAGGAGCAGCAGCAUUGACAGAGGCAGAGGCUAUCAAGGCAUCGAUGGACAUCAUAUAUCGCUUUUUAAAUUCAGAAUCAUGUGAUAUUCAUCUAAAUCAUGGAGAUCUAUGGGAAGCAAUCUGGUCCUGGAUAGGGAUAAAGGUAGAGCAUAGACGGAAAGUAGCAGAGCUUCUCUCUCUGUUGGGUACUUUGCGUCCUCAGUCAUCUGAAAGAAAGUCAAAAUGGGUGGUAAUAAGACGACAACUUCGACAGGAACUCAAUCUUGCAGAAGCUGCUGUAAAUAGAUUGCAGACGGUGGGAUUAAGGUUCUGCGGAGUUGCAGAUCAGGCCCUUCCUAGAUUGCGAGGUGCCCUUCCUGCUGAGAAACUCACAAGAAAGGCACUUGAUGAAUUGUCAGAGCUUUUCAGCUAUUUAAGAGUUUGGAGGAUCGAGAAACACGUGUUCAUAGAUGCCCUCAUGCCACCAGAUGAGAGUUAUCACAGAGAUUUAUUUUUUCAGAUAUAUGCUAGAAAGGAGAACAAUCCUGCAUCACUUAUGGAAGGGACACUGCUGGCCGUUGGGGGUCGCUUUGACUAUCUACUUCAUCCACUGUGGGCACGUUUCUAUAAAUCAAAUCCUCCUGGUGCUGUUGGAGUUAGCAUUGCUCUUGAGACAAUAAUUCAGCAUUGUUCUGUAGAUAUCAGGCCUUUUAGAUAUGAGGCUAGCAGUAAUGUACUAGUUUGUUCUAGAGGAAGAGGUGGUUUAUUGGAAGAGCGCAUGGAACUAGUUGCUGAGCUGUGGGAGGAGAACAUCAAGGCUGAGUUUGUCCCAGUGUCUGAUCCAAGCCUUACAGAACAGUACGAAUAUGCAAAUGACCAUGAUAUUAAAUGUAUUGUCAUCGUAACAGACACCCAAAAAGAUUCAGUUAAGGUCCGUCAUCUUGAGCUGAAGAAGGAGAAGGAAGUUGACAGAGAAAACCUUGUGAAGUUUCUAUCAGAGGCAAUGGCAACACAAUUUAGAAAUCCAUCCAUUUGGAGCUAGGCCAGUUCACUUUCAAGACAUUGCCUCUCAGGCGAGGGCUUCUGAUUCAUUUGGAUUUUGGACCACAUUCCAAUGCUUAGGCAUGUCCCCCAGCUGCCUUUCAGUCGGAUUGGAACAUGCAUCGGAAUGCACUGUGUUGUUGGUUUUGAUACUCCAUUAUUAUGGUCCCUUCAGAUGGUGCUCUUCAAUCCUGGACCUGCAACAGACUAUGGUGUGAAUUGUCCAAAAAAAGGAGGAAAAUCAUAUGUCGAUUUUGUGGCUGCAAUUUUUUGGUUUUAUCGAAGUACUUGAGGUCUAUACUCAAGGCCAUACUUAAGGAUACUUCCCCUUCUCCCUUAAUUUUACCUAAGUCAAUUCUUCUACUAGCAGAGAAUAAAUAGCCAAUAGUCAAUCAAUUAGAGAAGUUUCAUUUUUCAUUAACUUUUGACUUGUGAAUAACAACAAAUUUUCGUUUCACAGAAAAAAGGGGAGGAAAAUGACGAUUGAAUGCCCUUCUUUAUUGUGCCCAAAUAUCAAGGUCAUUUGUAAAUAUGCGCAUUAAGGGGAUGCUUGUAGAUUUUGAAUCAUUAUUGUAGAAAUUUUGCUUUGUUAAUCU